GGAAACGACUGCUAAUACCGCAUAAUGUCUACGGACCAAACGGGGCUUCGGCUCCGGCGCAAAGAGAGGCCCAAGUGAUAUUAGCUAGUUGGUGAGGUAAAGGCUCACCAAGGCGACGAUCUCUAGCUGUUCUGAGAGGAAGAUCAGCCACACUGGGACUGAGACACGGCCCAGACUCCUACGGGAGGCAGCAGUGGGGAACAUUGCACAAUGGGGGAAACCCUGAUGCAGCCAUGCCGCGUGUGUGAAGAAGGCCUUCGGGUUGUAAAGCACUUUCAGUUGUGAGGAAAAGUUGGUAGUUAAUACCUGCCAGCCGUGACGUUAACAACAGAAGAAGCACCGGCUAACUCCGUGCCAGCAGCCGCGGUAAUACGGAGGGUGCGAGCGUUAAUCGGAAUUACUGGGCGUAAAGCGCACGCAGGCGGUUUGUUAAGCUAGAUGUGAAAGCCCC
Molecule: ribosomal RNA, 451 nt
Filed under: uncultured bacterium
Lineage: Bacteria
Description: bacterial SSU rRNA
Rfam family: Bacterial small subunit ribosomal RNA
Source: RNAcentral